Molecule: ribosomal RNA, 292 nt
Filed under: uncultured bacterium
Lineage: Bacteria
Description: partial 16S ribosomal RNA
Source: RNAcentral
GGACUACCCGGGUAUCUAAUCCUGUUUGAUCCCCACGCUUUCGCGCCUCAGCGUCAAUGUAGGUCCAGUUGGCCGCCUUCGCCACGGGUGUUCUUCCCAAUAUCUACGAAUUUCACCUCUACACUGGGAAUUCCGCCAACCUCUACCUAAUUCAAGCAAGGCAGUCUUGAGUGCAAUUCCAGGGUUGAGCCCUGGGCUUUCACACCCAACUUGCCAAGCCGCCUACGCGCCCUUUACGCCCAGUAAUUCCGAACAACGCUAGCUCCCUUCGUAUUACCGCGGCGGCUGGCAC